This is a long non-coding RNA of Aegilops tauschii subsp. strangulata, 1617 nucleotides long. RefSeq lists it as uncharacterized. Lineage: Eukaryota; Viridiplantae; Streptophyta; Magnoliopsida; Poales; Poaceae. The record is from RefSeq and is a predicted model, not a curated record.
AAGAGGGAUUUGUACAUGUUCAGUGCAAUUUUAAGAGGUUGCACCAAUGCUCAUUCAUAAUAUUGUAUGCAUUCCAAGAAGAAAUGCUAUUGCUUCUUUAAGAUUCCUAUGUUAGGUUGCCCAACCAAUAUUGUUAUAUUUAUUUUUCAGUUGAAUAAUUAACUGCCCCUUUGAGAAAUUGCUUUUUUCACACUUUCUAUGAACACUUGAGUUGUAUGAUGUACCACAGAUUAAUUCUUAAUGUAUCAUUUAGAACAAGUAGAAAUGAACUAUUUACCCAAAAUUGAUGUGUAGUUUUGUGGAACUUCACUACAACUAGCAAUAGUAGUCUGCUGAUUGCUUUCCUUAUUAUGUGCCUCUUUAUUAAUGGAGAAAUAUAAACCAUGACUUGCUAUUUUUUUUUCUGCACCAGAUGAAUUACAUUUUUGAAUUGGUUGUAUGAUGCUAAUAAUUUUGUGUUAUAUUACCCUUUAUUAAUGGACAAAUGUAAUCCACAAUUUUGUUUUGCAACCGACAGAGUUGCAAUUCUUAAACUUACACUGCUUAGUACAAUCUUAAUAUACUAUGACUUUGAUGAUGUUUGGUUGUUAUGUGUUAUGUUGAAAGGCGAAAAUUAGAGCAUGUUGACAUUAUUUCUUCUAUUUCAAACAUCUAUUUUAUCAGCUGUGUUUAUCAGGUUUUGUGCCAUUACUUUUAAGUACAACUAUCUUAUAUCGAAGUUUCGACAGUUAGCAUUAGGACCGUUUCAUUUUAUAGUCGUUAUCAAUUUGAGCUUUGCAUAUGCUCAACACAAAUUCCCGCCGCAACGCGCGGGGCAUCCUCUAGUUCUUUAAAGUGCACGCACACUAUUUGACGAUACCGUGUGGCCGCGCCUCGACCGCUCGAUACAUCCGUAUCGUGAGGCCCAGCAGUACUCCGCUACCCGACAAGCCACCGCGCAGGGGCACACCGCUUCGUCCCUUCGUUCCAGAAGAAAACACUUAUCCCGAUCCCCUUUCCUCGUUCAGAGCACACCGUCGUCACCAGGGAGAUCGAUGGGGAGGCGGCCGACCGGAGGUGCCCGGCGAGAAGGCCGGAUGGGAAUCGGAGCAGAAGCACUGCCGUCUCGUUUCCCCCUUUCUCGGAGCUGGAGCUGAAGCGAUCCCGUCGUCAGCUCCGUCGUUGAGGUGGCGGUUUCGUCGUCGAUGAGAGCACAUGCGAAAGAAGUGAGGCCGGCGUAAAGGAGAGAAAAGAAGGCGUGUGCGCUGGGUGAUGCUUUUCAUUUUUGUCUAAUGUGGGGACCAGGUGGAGAGACACAGAAUGCGGACUUUCCUAAUUAGGACACAUGAGACUAAUUUUCCUAAUAUAAUCGGCUACCAAGAAGCGCUAGGGAGCACACGACUGCUCGCUAGAAGCAUCCACCUUUUCUGGGGAUUGCCAUGGGUUAUCCAAAAAAAAUCAUAAAACCAAAAUUUUGUUUGUUUGCAUACAGCCCACCAAAGUUUGGACAUUCAUUGUUUGGCAUGCAUAGCAUGAACCUUAAUGCACCUCUUGUUUGGAGAUAUGCCCUGGAGGUAAUCAUGUAUGAUGAUAUUUUCUAUGUUUUUAUGAAUAAAGAUAGUCCUUGAACAUUAUUAA